GGAUAUGGCCAUAUCACCCUGCAGCCCAAGACCCGUUACUCACUGAAGCUAAGCAAGGUUGAGCCUGGUCAGUACCUCGAUAAGAGUCCACAUGGGAAAACUAGGUUGCUGUUGGAA
Molecule: ribosomal RNA, 117 nt
Filed under: Danio rerio (zebrafish)
Lineage: Eukaryota; Metazoa; Chordata; Actinopteri; Cypriniformes; Danionidae
Source: RNAcentral